CCCUUAGACGUUCUGGGCCGCACGCGCGCUGCACUGACACAGGCAACGAGCUUUCCUUUACCGAAAGGUAUGGGUAAUCUUUUGAAACUGUGUCGUGCUGGGGAUAGAUCCUUGCAAUUUUUGAUCUUAAACGAGGAAUUCCUAGUAAGCGCGAGUCAUCAACUCGCGUUGAUUACGUCCCUGCCCUUUGUACACACCGCCCGUCGCUACUACCGAUUGAAUGGCUUAGUGAGGCCUCAGGAUCCGCGCUUAAUGUGUGGAGAAUUUGGACAAACUACGUCAUUUAGAGGAAGUAAAAGUCGUAACA
RNAcentral lists this ribosomal RNA (307 nucleotides) under uncultured eukaryote. RNAcentral's name for it is "partial 18S ribosomal RNA". It matches the Rfam family "Eukaryotic small subunit ribosomal RNA", at positions 1470 to 1796 of the family's 1831-position model. The record is from RNAcentral.